This 72-nucleotide transfer RNA is filed under the name Bos taurus (domestic cattle). It matches the Rfam family "tRNA". From Rfam's summary of the family: Transfer RNA (tRNA) molecules are approximately 80 nucleotides in length. Their secondary structure includes four short double-helical elements and three loops (D, anti-codon, and T loops). The record is from Rfam by way of RNAcentral. Lineage: Eukaryota; Metazoa; Chordata; Mammalia; Artiodactyla; Bovidae. RNAcentral also lists the same sequence under 5 other names.
UCCCCGGUGGCUCAGAUGGUAAAGAAUCUGCCUGCAAUGCAGGAGACCCAGGUUCGAUCCCUGGGUCGGGAA